GGGGAAGUGGCUCAGUGGUAGAGUGCUUGCCUUGCAUGCAUGAGGCCCUGGGUUCGAUUCCUCAGCACCA
RNAcentral lists this transfer RNA (70 nucleotides) under Dipodomys ordii (Ord's kangaroo rat). It matches the Rfam family "tRNA". Rfam says of the family: Transfer RNA (tRNA) molecules are approximately 80 nucleotides in length. Their secondary structure includes four short double-helical elements and three loops (D, anti-codon, and T loops). The record is from Rfam by way of RNAcentral. Lineage: Eukaryota; Metazoa; Chordata; Mammalia; Rodentia; Heteromyidae.